RNAcentral lists this long non-coding RNA (371 nucleotides) under Setaria viridis. RNAcentral's name for it is "long non-coding RNA (SVIR_LNC010356)". Lineage: Eukaryota; Viridiplantae; Streptophyta; Magnoliopsida; Poales; Poaceae. The record is from RNAcentral.
GCUGGCGGUGAUAGAGCUUUAUCACCAGUUUUGAAGUUGGUGGGGGUAGCAACCCUCAGAACCGAUGGUGAUGCUCACUUUCAUCACCGGUAAAACCGGCAGUGAAAGUAUCACCGCCGGAUUUUAACACCACCCGGCGCUGAAACAGUGCACGAACGCGAAAUAACCUUUCGUUCCACUUAAUUCCGUCUCACGUCCGCACUACCCCCCUCCUCCCCUUCUGCACCCACGCGCCGACCUCUCUUCCCCUCAGUCUCUCACUCUCUCCCUCCCUCCCCCCGCCCUCUCCUCCCUCCUCUCCCGUGUCCUCUCCUCCCUCACUCCCGACGACCUCUCCUUCCUCCUCCCUUCCUCCCACCACCCUCUCCUCC